UACGAAGGGGGCUAGCGUUGCUCGGAAUCACUGGGCGUAAAGGGUGCGUAGGCGGGUCUUUAAGUCAGGGGUGAAAUCCUGGAGCUCAACUCCAGAACUGCCUUUGAUACUGAAGAUCUUGAGUUCGGGAGAGGUGAGUGGAACUGCGAGUGUAGAGGUGAAAUUCGUAGAUAUUCGCAAGAACACCAGAGGCGGAGGCGGCUCACUGGCCCGAUACUGACGCUGAGGCACGAAAGCGUGGGGAGCAAACAGG
RNAcentral lists this ribosomal RNA (253 nucleotides) under uncultured bacterium. Its description in RNAcentral is "partial 16S ribosomal RNA". It matches the Rfam family "Bacterial small subunit ribosomal RNA", at positions 524 to 776 of the family's 1533-position model. The record is from RNAcentral.